RNAcentral lists this ribosomal RNA (1486 nucleotides) under uncultured Bordetella sp. RNAcentral's name for it is "partial 16S-23S ribosomal RNA intergenic spacer". It matches the Rfam family "Bacterial small subunit ribosomal RNA". The record is from RNAcentral. Lineage: Bacteria; Pseudomonadati; Pseudomonadota; Betaproteobacteria; Burkholderiales; Alcaligenaceae.
AGUUCGAUUAUGGCUCAGAUUGAACGCUGGCGUGGCGUUUUUACACAUGCAAGUCGAACGGCAGCACGGACUUCGGUCUGGUGGCGAGUGGCGAACGGGUGAGUAAUGUAUCGAACGUGCCUAGUAGCGGGGAUAACUACGCGAAAGCGUAGCUAAUACCGCAUACGUUCCUCGGGGGAAAGCGGGGAUCUUCACGCACCAUUAGAGCGGGCUGAUAUCGGAUUAGCUAGUUGGUGGGGUAACGGCUCACCAAGGCGACGAUCCGUAGCUGGUUUGAGAGGACGACCAGCCACACUGGGACUGAGACACGGCCCAGACUCCUACGGGAGGCAGCAGUGGGGAAUUUUGGACAAUGGGGAAACCCUGAUCCGCCUAAUAUCCCGCGUGUGCGCGAUGAAGGCCUUCGUAAAGCACUUUUUGGCAGGGGAAGAAACGGCACGGAUAAUACCCCGUGCGACGGUACCUGCAGAAUAAGCACCUGGGCCGGGUUCACGCGCCAGCAGCCGCGUAAUACGUAGGGUGCAAGCGUUAAUCGGAAUUACUGGGCGUAAAAACGUGCGCAGGCGGUUCGGAAAGAAAGAUGUGAAAUCCCCCAGAGCUUAACUUUGAACUGCAUUUUUAACUACCGAGCUAGAGUGUGUCAGAGGAGGUGGAAUUCCCGCGUGUAGCAGUGGAAAUGUGCAGAUAUGAGAACACCGAUGGCGAAGGCAGCCUCCGGGAUAACACUGACGUCAUGCACGAAAGCGUGGGGAGCAAACAGGAUUAGAUACCUCUGGUAGUCCACGCCCUAAACGAUGUCAAUCUGAAGCUGUUGGGGCCUUCGGGCCUUGGUAGCGCAGCUAACGCGUGAAGCUGACCGCCUGGGGAGUACGGUCGCAAGAUUAAAACUCAAAGGAAUUGACGGGGACCCGCACAAGCGGUGGAUGAUGUGGAUUAAUUCGAUGCAACGCGAAAAAACUCACUCUACCCUUUGACAUGUCUGGAAUCCUGAAGAGAUUUGGGAGUGCUCUCGUACAGAACCGAACACAGGUGCUGCAUGGUCAGCUGUCGUCAGCUCGUGUCGUGAGAUGCUGGUUAAGUCCUGCAACGAGCGCAACCCUUGUCAUUAGUUGCUACGAAAGGGCACUCGACGAGACUGCCGGUGACAAACCGGAGGAAGGUGGGGAUGACGUCAAGUCCUCAUGGCGUAGGUAGGGCUUCACACGUCAUACAAUGGUCGGGACAGAGGGUCGCCAACCCGCGAGGGGGGAGCCAAUCCCAGAAACCCGAUCGUAGUCCGGAUCGCAGUCUGCAACUCUCGACUGCGUGAAGUCGGAAUCGCUAGUAAUCGCGGAUCAGCAUGUCGCGGUGAAUACGUUCCCUGGCCUGUACACACCGCCCGUCACACCAUGGGGAGUGGGUUUUACCAGAAAGUGGUUAGCCUAACCGUAAGGAGGGCGAUUACCACGGUAGGAUUCAUGACUGGGGUGAAGUCGUAAUAAGGUAG